AUUUAGGAUUUUUUAAAAUCCACCCACCCAACUUUUAUUAUUAUU
This is a non-coding RNA of Pediculus humanus corporis (human body louse), 45 nucleotides long. NCBI's taxonomy places the organism in Eukaryota, Metazoa, Arthropoda, Insecta, Psocodea, Pediculidae. The record is from Rfam.